RNAcentral lists this long non-coding RNA (465 nucleotides) under Salvator merianae (Argentine black and white tegu). RNAcentral describes it as "lncRNA (ENSSMRG00000022518.1)". The record is from RNAcentral. Lineage: Eukaryota; Metazoa; Chordata; Lepidosauria; Squamata; Teiidae.
GCUCACUUUCCUGCACUUAUACCCAUAUCACUGCUGGACUUGGCUAGGAAGGUGCAAAGUGCUACAGGCCAGCACAUAUAGCCUUUACUUACAGCAUGCUAACAAUCAUUAAAUUUUCACAGAUCACUAAAUGAAGAAAAACCACAGCUGCUAUCGGAACUGACAGCCCCCCGCCCNGAUGCUUGAGAAAACCUGAUGUGGGGAACAAGGCAGUCUCUGGAGUUGAAAGCAGAUUAACUUCUAUAUGCCUGAGAUACAUCCACGUACCUUUGGCAAGAGAGAAUGAAAUUGCUUUCUGAACAAGCACUGGAAAUUGAGUACCAAUCGCCAAAAGUACCGACGACAGCAUGAACAUUUCCUUAAUGGGAGCAGAGAUAUGACCCCAGUCCCAUCCGUCUCUCUGUUGUCUGUUAUUAUUUCUAAGUGCAAAAUAUUAAUGCUGUGUAGAAAUAAAAUUGAACCCUG